Molecule: ribosomal RNA, 465 nt
Filed under: uncultured Lysobacteraceae bacterium
Lineage: Bacteria; Pseudomonadati; Pseudomonadota; Gammaproteobacteria; Lysobacterales; Lysobacteraceae
Description: bacterial SSU rRNA
Rfam family: Bacterial small subunit ribosomal RNA
Source: RNAcentral
CCUACGGGGGGCUGCAGUGGGGAAUAUUGGACAAUGGGCGCAAGCCUGAUCCAGCAAUGCCGCGUGUGUGAAGAAGGCCUUCGGGUUGUAAAGCACUUUUAUCAGGAACGAAAAGCGUUGGAUUAAUACUCUGACGUGCUGACGGUACCUGAGGAAUAAGCACCGGCUAACUUCGUGCCAGCAGCCGCGGUAAUACGAAGGGUGCAAGCGUUAAUCGGAAUUACUGGGCGUAAAGCGUGCGUAGAUGGUUCGCUAAGUCGGAUGUGAAAGCCCCGGGCUCAACCUGGGAACUGCAUCCGAUACUGGCGGACUAGAGUGUGAUAGAGGAUGGCGGAAUUCCCGGUGUAGCGGUGAAAUGCGUAGAGAUCGGGAGGAACAUCCGUGGCGAAGGCGGCCAUCUGGAUCAACACUGACGUUGAGGCACGAAAGCGUGGGGAGCAAACAGGCUUAGAUACCCCUGUAGUC